This 45-nucleotide non-coding RNA is filed under the name Schistosoma mattheei. The record is from RNAcentral. Lineage: Eukaryota; Metazoa; Platyhelminthes; Trematoda; Strigeidida; Schistosomatidae.
AUACAGUUGAUGAGUCCCAAAUAGGACGAAGCGCGCGUCCUAGAU